AAAAAAUGAAUGACAUUUCGAUUAUAAUUUUAUUUUAUUUCGUUUUUAAUUAAAAUGUAAACGUACAUAAAUACAAACACCAGUAUAAACAAAUAUAAGUCACAAUUUUAAAAGUAAAAAAAUUGCUUAGAUUUUUUUUUUUUUUUUUUAAUCUCCAUAUUUUACACACUUUUAACAUACAUUUUUUAAGUAAAAAUUCAAGAUACUUUUUUUAAAUUAGUAAUACAAUUUUCAAGAAAAGAAAGUUGCAUGUUUGAGUAAAUAAAAUGAUUAUAAAAUAACGAAUACAUAGCAAACUAGAAACAAAGGAAUAACGAAAACUUGCAUUAUGCAAAAUUUGCCUAAAUAUAAUAAUUUCUUAAGUAUACACAAGACUUAAAUGAAUGUAUAUAUAUAGAAGCCUUUAGAAAAAAAAAAAAAAAAAAAAUACACACAUACAUACGUAAAUAUAUACCUACUUGUAUAUAUAUAUAUAUAUAUAUAUAUAUAUAUAUAUAUAUAUAUAUAUCUUACAUUUGGAUGCACCUUUUUUUAAAUAAACACAAUAUAAAUUAAUUAUUUGGCUUAUUACGAUGGAGGAUAAACGAAAACAAGAUGAAGACUUAGAAUCCAACAAGUAUGACAUAGAUGAAGAAGAUAUUUACGAAGACGAAGGAAGAUUAAAUGAAGAAGAAAGGAGAGCCGAAAUGGAAGGAGAAAGUUUAUUUGAAGAAGAUGAUGAAGGUUUUAUUUUUGGAGCAGAAGAUGAUAAAAAAGAGAUGCAAAAGCUUCGUAAUUUAGGGUUGGAUAAAGAUGACUAUGAUGAAGAAUUUAUUGAUGAUGGAGAUUAUGAAGAUGAUUUAAAAGCUAGAAGAGCAGCUGAAAGACAUAUGCAAGUUCAAAAAAAACCAGAAGGACGAAGUGAGAAAAAUAAAUUUUGGGAGAAUGUAGCAGAUGAUAUACAAGGAGAUGAUGAAGAUGAAGAUAUUUUUGAUAAAGUUGCUGAAAAGGUUGCAAAAAGAAGAGAAAAUAUUCAUUUAUCAGCAGAUGAAAGUGAUAUACCUGAUUUAUCAAAUUUGGAGAGUGCAAAAAUAUGUCUAUCUGUGAAUCCUAAAGAUGUUAUUUUUGAUGAAAGAUAUCAACAAGCAGCUGAUACAUGUUUUCGAUAUUUUUUACAUAAAUUUUCGAUAAAAGAUUCAAUGGGUAUAAGCCUAGACCAAUCAACAUCAUCUUAUGCAGAAAGUAAUACUGACGAUAAUAUGAAUAGCUCUGUACAAUAUUAUAUAGAUAAGAUAGAAAAAAUGAUAUUAAAUGAUAAACAUACUUUAAUUGUUUCAGCAAAACAUUUAAUACAAUUUCACUGUGAAAAUUUAGUUCAAUGGAUUGAAUUUAAACCUGAAAAAAUUUUAGAAGUAUUACAUGAAUGUUUAAUGGUAGAAGCAUAUAGAAUAUCACCUAAAUUGUAUAAAGGAAAAAUUUGUAAAGUUGUGUUAAAGGAUUGGCCAUAUUCAACUCAUCUAAGAAAUUUAAGAUGUACUGAAUUGAAUACACUUAUUAAAGUAACAGGGGUUUGUAUUAAAAGAGGAUAUGUACUACCCAAAUUAAGAGUUAUGUAUUUAAAAUGUAACUCUUGUGAUACUACCCUUUCUGAAGUACCCAUUUAUUUUUCUGAUGGAAAAAAACCA
Long non-coding RNA from Piliocolobus tephrosceles (Ugandan red Colobus), 1664 nucleotides. The record is from Ensembl. Lineage: Eukaryota; Metazoa; Chordata; Mammalia; Primates; Cercopithecidae.